AUGUGGUUCCGACUAUGCUUUUGGAGUGCAACAGCUGAAAAAUUAACAUCUCAGCUCAAGGAAGCUUCCCCCAGGAUUACAUGUCAAGGAUUGGUAUUCAGUUAUUCACAUGCUGGCCAACAUAAUGUGGAACAAUUGUUACAAGAGAUCUUGAUCGCUUGUCAUUGUUUCUCCUGUACGAUGUAUACAUAUGUAUACAAGUUGCAAUUAAUUGGUGAGAUACCUGAAAUGCAAAUAUAUAUCAAGGAAAAGGCUUCUUGUACUGUCCCUCGCUGGUGUUGGGAGAAAUUACAUCAAUGUCGGCGAGUUCGAAGGGCGCCAUCACUGCUCCACGACCGUCUGCUUGGGUACUUAUCCCCUGGAGCCUGGACAUGA
RNAcentral lists this ribosomal RNA (375 nucleotides) under Triticum aestivum (bread wheat). RNAcentral's name for it is "partial small subunit ribosomal RNA". Lineage: Eukaryota; Viridiplantae; Streptophyta; Magnoliopsida; Poales; Poaceae. The record is from RNAcentral.